UGGGGAAUAUUGGACAAUGGGCGCAAGCCUGAUCCAGCCAUGCCGCGUGAGUGAUGAAGGCCUUAGGGUUGUAAAGCUCUUUCGCGCGCGACGAUAAUGACGGUAGCGCGAGAAGAAGCCCCGGCUAACUUCGUGCCAGCAGCCGCGGUAAUACGAAGGGGGCUAGCGUUGUUCGGAAUCACUGGGCGUAAAGCGCAUGCAGGCGGAUUGUUAAGUCGGGGGUGAAAUCCCGAGGCUCAACCUCGGAACUGCCUUCGAUACUGGCAAUCUUGAGUCCGGGAGAGGUGAGUGGAACUGCGAGUGUAGAGGUGAAAUUCGUAGAUAUUCGCAAGAACACCAGUGGCGAAGGCGGCUCACUGGCCCGGUACUGACGCUGAGGUGCGAAAGCGUGGGGAGCAAACAGG
RNAcentral lists this ribosomal RNA (404 nucleotides) under uncultured bacterium. Its description in RNAcentral is "bacterial SSU rRNA". It matches the Rfam family "Bacterial small subunit ribosomal RNA", at positions 355 to 776 of the family's 1533-position model. The record is from RNAcentral. RNAcentral also lists the same sequence under 1 other name.